UACGUAGGCAGCAAGCGUUGUUCGGAAUUACUGGGCGUAAAGAGUGUGUAGGCGGUGCUCUAAGUUCGGUGUGAAAUCUCCCGGCUCAACUGGGAGGGUGCGCCGGAAACUGGGGUGCUGGAGCGCGGGAGAGGAAAGCGGAAUUCCUGGUGUAGCGGUGAAAUGCGCAGAUAUCAGGAAGAACACCCGUGGCGAAAGCGGCUCUCUGGAACGGUACUGACGCUGAGACGCGAAAGCGUGGGGAGCGAACAGG
RNAcentral lists this ribosomal RNA (253 nucleotides) under uncultured bacterium. Its description in RNAcentral is "partial 16S ribosomal RNA". It matches the Rfam family "Bacterial small subunit ribosomal RNA", at positions 524 to 776 of the family's 1533-position model. The record is from RNAcentral.